This 323-nucleotide ribosomal RNA is filed under the name Rhogostoma sp. RNAcentral's name for it is "SSU rRNA". The stretch from base 60 to 323 matches the Rfam family "Eukaryotic small subunit ribosomal RNA", at positions 690 to 955 of the family's 1831-position model. Lineage: Eukaryota; Cercozoa; Thecofilosea; Cryomonadida; Rhogostomidae. The record is from RNAcentral.
GACUUCUGGUAUAAUGCACCUGGCCCGCAGCUAUUUAGGCUUGUGAGUGCCGGAGCGCGUUUACCAUCCUUCUGGGCCUCACGUCUACCCUUCACUGGGUUGGAUAUGUGAUCCAGAUCUUUUACUUUGAAAAAAUUAGAGUGUUUAAAGCAGGCUUUUGCUAUGAAUACAUUAGCAUGGAAUAAUAAUCUAGGACUUCGGUUCUAUUUUGUUGGUUUCUAUAACUGAAGUAAUGAUUGAUAGGGAUAGUUGGGGGUGCUAGUAUUGGCCGGUCAGAGGUGAAAUUCUUGGAUUCGGUCAAGACUAACUUAUGCGAAAGCAUU